RNAcentral lists this ribosomal RNA (538 nucleotides) under uncultured bacterium. RNAcentral's name for it is "bacterial SSU rRNA". It matches the Rfam family "Bacterial small subunit ribosomal RNA", at positions 358 to 916 of the family's 1533-position model. The record is from RNAcentral.
GGAAUCUUGCACAAUGGAGGAAACUCUGAUGCAGCGAUGCCGCGUGAGUGAAGAAGGCCUUUGGGUUGUAAAGCUCUUUUGUAGGGGAAGAUAAUGACUGUACCCUAAGAAUAAGGUCCGGCUAACUUCGUGCCAGCAGCCGCGGUAAUACGAAGGGACCUAGCGUAGUUCGGAAUUACUGGGCGUAAAGCGCGCGUAGGCCGUUGAGUUAGUUAAUUGUGAAACCCCAAAGCUUAACUUUGGAACUGCAAUUAAAACUGCUCGACUAGAGUUUGAUAGAGGAAAGCGGAAUACAUAGUGUAGAGGUGAAAUUCGUAGAUAUUAUGUAGAACACCAGUUGCGAAGGCGGCUUUCUGGAUCAAUACUGACGCUGAGGCGCGAAAGUAUGGGUAGCAAAGAGGAUUAGAUACCCUCGUAGUCCAUACCAUAAACGAUGAUUGCUAGAUGUUGGAAAUUUAUUUUCAGUAUCGCAGCUAACGCAUUAAGCAAUCCGCCUGGGGAGUACGACCGCAAGGUUAAAACUCAAAUGAAUUGACGG